This 100-nucleotide small nuclear RNA is filed under the name Macaca fascicularis (crab-eating macaque). The record is from RNAcentral. Lineage: Eukaryota; Metazoa; Chordata; Mammalia; Primates; Cercopithecidae.
GUGCUCACUUCAGCACAUACACUAAAAUUGGAACGAUACAGAGAAGAUUAGCAUGGCCCCUGUGCAAGGAUGACAUGCUUUUAAAAUAAAAAAAAUUUUU